Molecule: ribosomal RNA, 465 nt
Filed under: uncultured bacterium
Lineage: Bacteria
Description: partial 16S ribosomal RNA
Rfam family: Bacterial small subunit ribosomal RNA
Source: RNAcentral
GACGAACGCUGGCGGCGUGCUUAACACAUGCAAGUCGUACGGUAAGGCCCUUUCGGGGGUACACGAGUGGCGAACGGGUGAGUAACACGUGAGUAACCUGCCCACAACUUUGGGAUAACGCUAGGAAACUGGUGCUAAUACUGGAUAUGUGCUCCUGCUGCAUGGUGGGGGUUGGAAAGCUCCGGCGGUUGUGGAUGGACUCGCGGCCUAUCAGCUUGUUGGUGGGGUAGUGGCCUACCAAGGCGGCGACGGGUAGCCGGCCUGGGAGGGUGACCGGCCACAUUGGGACUGAGAUAGGGCCCAGACUCCUACGGGAGGCAGAAGUGGGGAAUAUUGCACAAUGGGCGCAAGCCAGAUGCAGCAACGCCGCGGGCGGGAUGACGGUCUUCGGGUUGUAAACCGCUUUCAGCAGGGACGAAGCUUUUUGUGACGGUACCUGCAGAAGAAGCACCGGCUAACUACGUG